This 460-nucleotide ribosomal RNA is filed under the name uncultured bacterium. Its description in RNAcentral is "partial 16S ribosomal RNA". It matches the Rfam family "Bacterial small subunit ribosomal RNA", at positions 338 to 795 of the family's 1533-position model. The record is from RNAcentral.
CCUACGGGUGGCAGCAGUGAGGAAUAUUGGUCAAUGGACGAGAGUCUGAACCAGCCAAGUAGCGUGAAGGAUGACUGCCCUAUGGGUUGUAAACUUCUUUUAUAAAGGAAUAAAACGAGGCACGUGUGCCUUUUUGUAUGUACUUUAUGAAUAAGGAUCGGCUAACUCCGUGCCAGCAGCCGCGGUAAUACGGAGGAUCCGAGCGUUAUCCGGAUUUAUUGGGUUUAAAGGGAGCGUAGAUGGGUUGUUAAGUCAGUUGUGAAAGUUUGCGGCUCAACCGUAAAAUUGCAAUUGAUACUGGCAGUCUUGAGUACAGUAGAGGUGGGCGGAAUUCGUGGUGUAGCGGUGAAAUGCUUAGAUAUCACGAAGAACCCCGAUUGCGAAGGCAGCUUACUAAACUGUGACUGACAUUGAUGCUCGAAAGUGUGGGUAUCAAACAGGAUUAGAUACCCUUGUAGUC